UCUGGAAGAAUCUGGAGACAGGUGCUGCAUGGCUGUCGUCAGCUCGUGUCGUGAGAUGUUCGGGUUAAGUCCCGCAACGAGCGCAACCCUUGCCUUUAGUUGCCAGCAGUUCGGCUGGGCACUCUAAAGGGACUGCCGGUGUUAAACCGGAGGAAGGUGGGGAUGACGUCAAGUCCUCAUGGCCUUUAUGGACCAGGGCUACACACGUACUACAAUGGCCGAUACAAAGGGCAGCGACACUGCGAGGUGAAGCCAAUCCCGUAAAAUACGGUCUCCAGUCCGGAUUGGAGUCUGCAACUCGACUCCAUGAAGUUGGAAUCGCUAGUAAUCGUGGAUCAGCAUGCCACGGUGAAUACGUUCCCGGGCCUU
RNAcentral lists this ribosomal RNA (369 nucleotides) under uncultured Desulfobulbus sp. RNAcentral's name for it is "bacterial SSU rRNA". It matches the Rfam family "Bacterial small subunit ribosomal RNA", at positions 1016 to 1382 of the family's 1533-position model. The record is from RNAcentral. Lineage: Bacteria; Pseudomonadati; Thermodesulfobacteriota; Desulfobulbia; Desulfobulbales; Desulfobulbaceae.